This 497-nucleotide ribosomal RNA is filed under the name uncultured bacterium. Its description in RNAcentral is "partial 16S ribosomal RNA". It matches the Rfam family "Bacterial small subunit ribosomal RNA", at positions 28 to 507 of the family's 1533-position model. The record is from RNAcentral.
GAUGAACGCUGGCGGCGUGCCUAAUACAUGCAAGUCGAGCGAACGGACGAGAAGCUUGCUUCUCUGAUGUUAGCGGCGGACGGGUGAGUAACACGUGGAUAACCUACCUGUAAGACUGGGAUAACUUCGGGAAACCGGAGCUAAUACCGGAUAAUAUUUUGAACCGCAUGGUUCAAAAGUGAAAGACGGUCUUGCUGUCACUUAUAGAUGGAUCCGCGCUGCAUUAGCUAGUUGGUAAGGUAACGGCUUACCAAGGCAACGAUGCAUAGCCGACCUGAGAGGGUGAUCGGCCACACUGGAACUGAGACACGGUCCAGACUCCUACGGGAGGCAGCAGUAGGGAAUCUUCCGCAAUGGGCGAAAGCCUGACGGAGCAACGCCGCGUGAGUGAUGAAGGUCUUCGGAUCGUAAAACUCUGUUAUUAGGGAAGAACAUAUGUGUAAGUAACUGUGCACAUCAUGACGGUACCUAAUCAGAAAGCCACGGCUAACUACGUG